This 397-nucleotide ribosomal RNA is filed under the name uncultured Rhizophagus. RNAcentral's name for it is "eukaryotic LSU rRNA". Lineage: Eukaryota; Fungi; Glomeromycota; Glomeromycetes; Glomerales; Glomeraceae. The record is from RNAcentral.
GUGAAAUUGUUGAAAGGGAAACGAUUAAAGUCAGUCGUACCGAUGGACAUUCAACCUCUUGAGUGCGAUUAUGUCGGGUGUUGAGGAGCUUAACCGCCUUCGCGCUUGCGUAUUUGUGCUCUACGGGUGUACUUGUUCGUAUGGUAGGUUAACAUCAAUUUCGGUCGUCAUAAAAUGACGGGAGGAAUGUGGCUUCGAUCUCGCAUUGAAGUGUUAUAGCCUCUGGUAGAUGUGGUGACCGGGAUUGAGGAUUGCAACGAACCCUUCGGGGCCACUUGUCUGGCCUCUGGUGGUCUCUCUGGUGCCGAAAGCUCGCUUACGGUCAUCGGAGUUGGGUGCCAAAAGGUUAGAACGGGUUGAAUUCGUUAAGGAUGUUGACGUAAUGGCUUUAAACGAC